Molecule: long non-coding RNA, 356 nt
Organism: Poeciliopsis prolifica (blackstripe livebearer)
Lineage: Eukaryota; Metazoa; Chordata; Actinopteri; Cyprinodontiformes; Poeciliidae
Exons: 3
Source: RefSeq, a predicted model, not a curated record
GAACAAAGUCGAGCGUUCUGUCAGGAAAAACAAUCAGAUUUGGUUGUUAUUGAUGAUCUGGAGGAGCAGAAAUUUGUCAGCAAUCACACCAAAUACUACCAUGACGAAGACCACGGAUACUUGAUAGGAUUACGAGAAGUUAACAACACCUGGAUCUGGGUGGAUGGACAUGUAGACACUCUUGGGUUCUGGAACAAGAAGACGUUCAGUUUGUCACGUCCAUUUGCACUUCUGAUCCCAAACAGAAAUCUGACAGAGAGCUGGGACAAAGCAGAUGGGAAGUUUGAGAACAAAUUCAUCUGUGAGCAUGAAGCUGUUAUUUGGUCCAUUUAACUCUUUUCUUUUAAACUCCAGAA